ACUGCUCCGGAUGUUAGCGGCGGACGGGUGAGUAACACGUGGGUAACCUGCCUGUAAGACUGGGAUAACUCCGGGAAACCGGAGCUAAUACCGGAUAGUUCCUUGAACCGCAUGGUUCAAGGAUGAAAGACGGUUUCGGCUGUCACUUACAGAUGGACCCGCGGCGCAUUAGCUAGUUGGUGAGGUAACGGCUCACCAAGGCGACGAUGCGUAGCCGACCUGAGAGGGUGAUCGGCCACACUGGGACUGAGACACGGCCCAGACUCCUACGGGAGGCAGCAGUAGGGAAUCUUCCGCAAUGGACGAAAGUCUGACGGAGCAACGCCGCGUGAGUGAUGAAGGUUUUCGGAUCGUAAAGCUCUGUUGUUAGGGAAGAACAAGUGCAAGAGUAACUGCUUGCACCUUGACGGUACCUAACCAGAAAGCCACGGCUAACUACGUGCCAGCAGCCGCGGUAAUACGUAGGUGGCAAGCGUUGUCCGGAAUUAUUGGGCGUAAAGGGCUCGCAGGCGGUUUCUUAAGUCUGAUGUGAAAGCCCCCGGCUCAACCGGGGAGGGUCAUUGGAAACUGGGAAACUUGAGUGCAGAAGAGGAGAGUGGAAUUCCACGUGUAGCGGUGAAAUGCGUAGAGAUGUGGAGGAACACCAGUGGCGAAGGCGACUCUCUGGUCUGUAACUGACGCUGAGGAGCGAAAGCGUGGGGAGCGAACAGGAUUAGAUACCCUGGUAGUCCACGCCGUAAACGAUGAGUGCUAAGUGUUAGGGGGUUUCCGCCCCUUAGUGCUGCAGCUAACGCAUUAAGCACUCCGCCUGGGGAGUACGGUCGCAAGACUGAAACUCAAAGGAAUUGACGGGGGCCCGCACAAGCGGUGGAGCAUGUGGUUUAAUUCGAAGCAACGCGAAGAACCUUACCAGGUCUUGACAUCCUCUGACAACCCUAGAGAUAGGGCUUUCCCUUCGGGGACAGAGUGACAGGUGGUGCAUGGUUGUCGUCAGCUCGUGUCGUGAGAUGUUGGGUUAAGUCCCGCAACGAGCGCAACCCUUGAUCUUAGUUGCCAGCAUUCAGUUGGGCACUCUAAGGUGACUGCCGGUGACAAACCGGAGGAAGGUGGGGAUGACGUCAAAUCAUCAUGCCCCUUAUGACCUGGGCUACACACGUGCUACAAUGGACAGAACAAAGGGCUGCGAGACCGCAAGGUUUAGCCAAUCCCACAAAUCUGUUCUCAGUUCGGAUCGCAGUCUGCAACUCGACUGCGUGAAGCUGGAAUCGCUAGUAAUCGCGGAUCAGCAUGC
This 1291-nucleotide ribosomal RNA is filed under the name Bacillus pumilus. RNAcentral's name for it is "bacterial SSU rRNA". It matches the Rfam family "Bacterial small subunit ribosomal RNA", at positions 79 to 1357 of the family's 1533-position model. Lineage: Bacteria; Bacillati; Bacillota; Bacilli; Caryophanales; Bacillaceae. The record is from RNAcentral.